AGAGAGAGCAGCAAUGACCUGUCCAAUAUCAAUCGCUGGGUUGAGGGAGAAUCCAAGGUCUAGGAUAAUGUCUGCUCUCCUAGUAUGGAAAUCGCCUGUCAAUGUGUCAAUUUCAACUUCGGAAAAUGCAGCGCCAUAGGUGAAGUACCUAAACGGACUGCCUUUUCCAGAUUUCCAGUCAAAGUCAAUAUCAGGUGUAAUGUAGAACCCAUGAGCAGAAAGAUCUAUUCUCUCGAAGAAGCACGCACUGACAAGCUGAUAUUUAAUCAAAAAACAAGACAUCAAGUCAGCAGUUAAUUGUUUUUCUAUUAUCAUCAUGAAAGUGCUAUAGAAAAAGACAAAGUGCAAUAUUUCAGAGUCAGUUUUGAGGUACAAGUAAAAUAUAAGACAUAUAAUAAAGGUUUACAUUGGACCAUGAGGGAAGAUACAAAAUGCUUGCGGUGUUAUCAAUCUGAACAAGGUAUUAUAUACAGUGCAAUUAUGGAACAAUAUGCCACAGAAAGGUAAUGAGCUUGCUCGGGAAAUGAAAUAAACCAUGAAGAAAACCUUACUGCUCCAUUGCAAAAAAUCUUUCACAAAUUCUCUUUUGCAGAUACUCAGCCUUUUUUGAGUUUUUUCUAAUUUAAUGUUUCAAUUCCCAAGAUUACGAUGAAUUAUGAAUAUACUGAAUAUGUGGUCUUGCUAAAGGCAGUGGUGUACACAUAAUCGAAGGAAUAAAGCAGACGGGUGAGGUGAAAAUACUUUUUUCUUUAAAAAUUGAGCUUUGAGAAAGUCACUCAUUGAUCCAGCCUUCCAAUAAUCUUGUAACUAGGAAUGUCAUGAUUCAUGUCCCACUCUCUUGCUACAUGCCCAUGUUGCUAAGUGUUUCAUCUGCUGCCAUAAUCACUGCAUCUUAUGCAAAACACUGUGUAUCCUCCUAGAUGGACAAGUCCCUUCUUCGUCUGUUACUAAGUACCUCCAUUUUCAUGGUUUAAAAUGUAUUGCAUGCCUAGUUCAACUGACACGAGGUGUGACAAAACUAAAUUUUGACUUCAAGUGCAGGAGGUACGGUUAUUUCAGAACUUGAAAGCAAUAUACAUGGUGCAGUCAACGUCUUAACUCUCUCUUUUGGUUUUUGGUGGGGAGGAGGGGAGGUCAUACCUUUGCAUCAACUUCUUACCAUUUAGCGUUUUGUUCUCUUCUGACGUUGAAUUAUUUCCACCUUCCGUUUCUUCGCUUACCAUCUAACAAAUAUUCAUCUUAGGCCACUACAUAAUUUGUUGUUUUUUGAUAUAAGGACUCUUAUUGGACCUCCCAUGGCUCUGAAAAAGCUGUAAGCAGUAAACACCACUUGUAAUUAUUCAUAUAUCCUUGUGAGUUUUCUACACUCAUGCAACUCCCUUAGACUCUUUUUCCUUGUCCUUUAAUUAUAUGGAAAUAGGCAAUAAGCCUGGUCAAACACUAUCCCAUGCAAGGCUAUGCUUGAAGAGAUGCCAGAUGCAUGCACUGUAGACUAAUAAUGCCUAGAGAUUAGUACCUCCUCACAGAGCAUGUGGCAUUUGCAUCCCUUCUUUUCAUUAAAGUGCAUAUCUACUAAUCGCUAGUUUCUGUUCCUUGAACUUCUCAAACUCAACUUAGUCAGGUAAAAGAAAAAAGAUAACAGAAACAUAAGAUCUUCAAUACUCUGAUGAACUUCAAAGAUAAAUUAUCUUCUUCCAAAUGAUAUACGCCGUAUCAUCUUCUUCACAAUUGGUGCCUAACCCUGAAGAAGUGUGAAUUUCACACAAGGAGUUACUGUAGGAAGAAACCAUCAUUUGGUGGUUACAAUCAAAAUAAUUUGAAGGUGGGAAAAGAAGGUGUAUCAGGGAAUAUGCAUAUAUCCCUUUUUAUCUGAAAAAUGAGGUCAGAUUAGAGGUAGUAUUCCAUAAGGAGAAAAAGAGAGUAUGAUACGGAUCAAGCAAAAUGGAGAAAGGAAAGACAAGUAAAGGAAAAUGAAACAGACAAUAUGAUAGGGAUGAUCACAAGCCACAACUGAUUUGAACAGCCCACCAUGUACCUAUUAGCCCAUUGAAUUAGAGAAAUUCACGAGUAGCGUAUUUUAUCAUUUCAUCCUCAAAACACAAGUCAUACACAUAUUUCAAAUGAUAGACAAGCAAGUCAGGCAGAUUAAAAAUGAAAUAAAACAGAUAUCAAAUCAAAAAAAUUACUUCAAAGCCAGCACAAAAAGAAAGACCUCCUCAAAAGAGCUGAAGUUAGACUUGGAUGCAAUAGGCUCCAUCCGUGCUUUUAUUUGCUCGCAUGCAUCCAAUACUGCAGCUCCAUACAUGUCAGAACUUGCAGAAGCAGCUGUUGGUGAAGCAUUAGGUACCUAGAUUGGCAAGAAAACUAGAUGAGGCAGGUAAUAAUAUUUUUCAUAAUCUGCAAACAAAAUUGACAUGCAACACAAGGAAUUUGAAUAAAACAAUAUGAUGUGCUAGAAGAAAUAUCCACACACACACACACCCCAAACCAAGCAAACCACCGCUUGGCUGAGGAAGAUCAGUUUCAAUUAUUUUAGGUAGCAAGUGAAGGCAGUAUCUAAGUUCAACAUUUACAGACCGAGUAAAUUCAAGUUUUAUAUUGGUUAUUAUGGAAGGGGAGCCUUGGCAUAAGUGGUAAAGUUAUUGCCAUGUGACCAGUAGGUCACGGGUUCGAGCUGUGGAAACAGCCUCUUGCAGAAAUGCAAGGUAAGGUUGUGUACAAUAGACCCUUGUGCUCCUGCCCUUCCCCGAACCCGCACAUAGCAGGAGCUUAGUGAACCGGGCUUCCCUUUAUUGGCUAUUAAGUUUCUGGUUUAACUCAUUUUCUGUCAUCGCCAUCUAGUACAUGCCUAACCUUUCUGUCGUUGCAGCUAAUAUUUUUUGAUAACUCAUCCCAGCUAAUAUUAGAAUAUAACAAGAAUUAUGCCAUGUGAUUCCGAUGUAUCCUUUCAGUUUGUUCACCAAUAGAAGAAUAGAAGCUUCAAACAAUGAUAUAAUGAUAUUCGUCUCACACUCAAUACCUUGUCAGUACUUGUGUCUGAAAUGAAUACUGCACUUAGAGGGAUGUUAAAGGAAGAUGCAGCAAUCUGAGCAACUUUUGUAUGUAAACCUUGGCCCAUCUCAACACCCCCAUGAGUGACCAACACUGUUCCAUCUGUGUAAACUUGAACAAGAGCACCUGCCUGUAGUCAAUCAGUCAGUGAAUAACCAACUUAAGCUUUUGGGAUUACAACUUUUCAUAGAGCUAAAAUUAUGAAACAAUCAGCAUCGAAAAAGGUGUUGUUUCUGAAGAACAUGAACCUAUAUCUCCUGUAGAACUAUUCACAUCUACAUACUAACUUAUUCAGGUGCUCCUCACCUCUACCACUUGCAUUUUGUAAAUUGCUUGAAAGAAUGAGAAAUGUGUGAUCAAUAGGAGUCUUAUUUUUUUAAUCACAUCUUGAAAAGGGGCUAUAGCCUGUCCUACACAGUAAAUGGAAUGCUUUUUAACCUUAUCUCAAAAGGAAGUGGAAAACUUAACCAAUUACAGAAGUCAGUCAGCGGCUGUUAUCAUGCUCAUAGGUACCAAAGAAAUAGCUUAAAUAUAUCCAGCCACCUGGGCUGGUUAGCAAAUCAUUGCUGAAAGCAGAGUAGAAUGAAGGCAAUACUUAAACUACUCACUACUCAAAGGAACAUGGACCUAACUAGGAACUUUAGGGUGUACAACAAAGACAAGAAUGUACCUGGUUCAUAGACUUAAAAGUGAAAGCUAUUCCAAAUUUGGUUGGCACCAUGGCAAUACCUCGCUUCUUCCAUCGAUUAUGGCGAUUGAAAGUUUCAACUUCAUUUUGAGCAUUAAUGAAGUCACAAGAAGAUUUCAAUUCAUCCCAGAGACGCCCCAAGGUACAGUCUUCAACUUUUUGACCAUAGUGCAAGACUGAUCCUUCACUGAUGAAAUUCAUUUCCUGGUGGAAAAAUGAAAAAUGAGAAAACAAUCCAUAUACAUCAUCAUCUACAGUGCUAAAGGAAGUGAAAAUGGUGAAGCUGCUGAUAUGCAUCACAUAUGAAAAUAGACUAUUCAGACAAUCAUCAGAAACACCAGGCAUACCUUUAUUUCUUCUGGGCUUUUGUUAACUUCCACUGCAAUCCUCUCUAUCCAAUUCUCAGCAAUUAGCAUACCCUGUGGGCCUCCAAAUCCUCUAAAAGCUGUAUUACUAGGAAAAUUAGUGAAACAUGCUUUUCCAUUAACCCUCACAUUUGGUAUUUCAUAGACAUUGUGUGAAUGGAACAUAGAACGUUCAAGUACAGCGGCUGAUAGGUCCAACGAAUUUCCAGCAUUAUUGUAGAUAUGAAGAUCCAAGGCAAGCACUUUCCCGGCAUUUGUAAAACCAACCUAACAAUAAUAGAGAAUGUUAACAUUGUUUCUCCAUAUUCAAAAGAAAAUGCUAAUAGAAAUCAGAACAGAAAAUGACGCAAACCAAUGCCUACCAAACACAUUAGUAAAACGAAUAAAACCAAAUGUUUCCCUUCCUAUCAUCCCUCCGCUUGAGGAGGCUUAUAUAGUCCAAUAAUCUAUAUCUGCUAAGUAUUAUACUGAUUGGUUCAUGUAACAAAAAACAGCACAACAGGCUGGGAAAGAACUUGUCGAGUUCGUAGCCUCGACUCUUCUCCAGUUGUUAUUACUCCACUACAAAAUCCAAUGCAAAUAAUGCCUAAAGAGUUUAUCUGUCUAUGCAGCCUAACAAUUCAAUGUGUUCAGUAAAUCAGAAAGUGUACAUAUCUGUUCAUCACAAUAUUUAUGAAACAUCUACCAUUUCGACAAUCCCAAAACAUUUGGCACACUCAAAUAACAAAAUCUGUUCACAGAUACUAGUUGCACUAAUUCAAAUUUAAACUACAAUAUCAUGUGUUUCCCACAAAUGCUUGAGCAAUAAACACCGCAGAAGUGAGUGAGUUAAACAAGCUUUCCCAUGCCAUCCAAAUGUUGCAUAGAUUGAGUUUAGCUGUGUAACGUGCUUUUGUUAACUUCCACUGCAAUCCUCUCUAUCCAAUUCUCAGCAAUUAGCAUACCCUGUGGGCCUCCAAAUCCUCUAAAAGCUGUAUUACUAGGAAAAUUAGUGAAACAUGCUUUUCCAUUAACCCUCACAUUUGGUAUUUCAUAGACAUUGUGUGAAUGGAACAUAGAACGUUCAAGUACAGCGGCUGAUAGGUCCAACGAAUUUCCAGCAUUAUUGUAGAUAUGAAGAUCCAAGGCAAGCACUUUCCCGGCAUUUGUAAAACCAACCUAACAAUAAUAGAGAAUGUUAACAUUGUUUCUCCAUAUUCAAAAGAAAAUGCUAAUAGAAAUCAGAACAGAAAAUGACGCAAACCAAUGCCUACCAAACACAUUAGUAAAACGAAUAAAACCAAAUGUUUCCCUUCCUAUCAUCCCUCCGCUUGAGGAGGCUUAUAUAGUCCAAUAAUCUAUAUCUGCUAAGUAUUAUACUGAUUGGUUCAUGUAACAAAAAACAGCACAACAGGCUGGGAAAGAACUUGUCGAGUUCGUAGCCUCGACUCUUCUCCAGUUGUUAUUACUCCACUACAAAAUCCAAUGCAAAUAAUGCCUAAAGAGUUUAUCUGUCUAUGCAGCCUAACAAUUCAAUGUGUUCAGUAAAUCAGAAAGUGUACAUAUCUGUUCAUCACAAUAUUUAUGAAACAUCUACCAUUUCGACAAUCCCAAAACAUUUGGCACACUCAAAUAACAAAAUCUGUUCACAGAUACUAGUUGCACUAAUUCAAAUUUAAACUACAAUAUCAUGUGUUUCCCACAAAUGCUUGAGCAAUAAACACCGCAGAAGUGAGUGAGUUAAACAAGCUUUCCCAUGCCAUCCAAAUGUUGCAUAGAUUGAGUUUAGCUGUGUAACGUGAUCAUAAACUCAUCUAUUUACCUUGUACUUCCCAAGAAAGCUAUGUCGCUGCCCCAUUAUCAUCAUGUCUAUAUCCCUAUCCAGAAUAAUUUUCACUGGACAAUCCAGCAGGUAUGAUGGAACUGCCGCAGCACAAGCAAGCAUAGCAGACCUAGUCUCCUUGCCUCCAAAUCCACCACCUAUCCUUUUGGUCUUGCAAACCACUUUUGACAUCGGAAGACCAAGAACAUGAGAGACAUACUUCUGGUGCUUCUGAGGAGCCUGCAAGAUAGACAAUGAUUGGGACACCAAAUUAGAAGCACAGAUAUUCUUCCUUUCCAAACAAGUAAAUUACAGAGAUGUAGCAUCUUAAACUGGAUAUUGACCUAAUCCACAUGUCAAACUAAACCCAUCUAACAGCAUAAUAUUGAUCUCUAAGAAACCAAUAGUUAUCUAGAACCGAAAUCAUAAAAACAACUCAUGAUUAUUUCAAACUGACACCAAACUUAGAUGACUAUGUUUGAUCACAUAUAUAUCAUGUGAGUCUGAGAAGAAAGAGUAAGUAGAGAAAAGCUAAGAACUUUAGGAGGUUAGCUUUGCUAUUUCUAGUUAAAACUAAGUUUUGCAAACCUUUUCGAUUUUGCGUCAAAAAUUUAAAACAGCAGUCACAAAAUAAGCUUAUAAAAAAGCAAUCGAUGUUCUAAUAUGUGUAAUCUGAGAGUUUCAAAUACUGAAAACACAUGCAGGAUACAUGUUUUUUCUAAACAAGCUCUAUUAUAAAUUGCAGUUUGGGCGCAAGAGCAACUUAUUAACUGAAAUUGAGUUCCAUGAUAUGAUCAAGGCUUUGGCAACUCAAUGGCAGAUGGCACUUCCCCUUAUUACCACUUCUUUUAAUGAUUAUAUUAACACUUACAUCUAAACAAGCAAACCACGAGAAGAAGAAAAAGAUACAACACCAGAAUUAAUGCCCUAUAAACCUACAUAUACUUGAGGAACUAAGAGAGAAUGGCUAGAUUUAUGUUUGAAGUACCUGGGUAGAUGAGAUCAUGUGCACCUCAUUCCCUCUAUCCACUGUCCAUAUAAAAGUGCCAUGAGGCUCCAAAUAGAAAUGUUCUUGACCACCUACCCUAACUUCUCCUUCUAUAAUACUGUCACAUUGACCUGACUGGAAACACUGUUCAACAUCACCCUUUGUCAUACACCUUUCCGUAUUUGGAUGAUAACUGUUGGCCUGUAUAGCAUCCUCUAUCGAUAAAAUUGCAGGUAACUCCUCAUACUCAACAUGAACCUUUCUAGCAGCAAGUUUUGCAUUUUCAUGUGUGUCAGCUACAACCACUCCAAUAACCUACAAAUAUUCACCCAGACAAUAAUAGGUAGCUAUGAAAAAACAGUUGAAAUUAUAGUCAUUCCCAAAUCAAAACCUUAUUACAAGUCUACCUCACUUAACAUCGCAAGAGAAGCCAGUUUAUUCUGAAUAUUAACCUAAUAUAGUGUACAGAUUUUGUGCAUGGAGAGAACAUCUCAGAAUAUACCAUCAUACCUGACCCACAGAAGUGACAAACUCUGUGGCAAAAAGUUCUUCAUCAUGAAUAACUGGUCCAAUCAUAUUGUUACCAGGUACAUCUUUGGCCAAAAAGAUACCUGCAAAUCCAGGAGAGGACCUGGCUCCCAAAUCAUCUAUCGAAAGUAUACGAGCAUGAGGUUUUUUACUCAAUAUCAGAGCAGCAUGCAAACUAUUGGGUGGCAUUGGCGCAUCAUCUGUAUAUUCGGCCUCUCCAGAAACCUGAAAAUGGUCAAGUUUAUCAGCCAAGAUAUAAGUGGCAAUUUUGGCCAAACAGAGCCACUAAAAGGACAGAUAUUUCAUCAGAAUGCCAGCUCAAAAUAAUAAAACACUUUUCAAAAGUUCCAAUUUCCUAUGCAUAGACAGAGCUGUACACUAUAGAUUUUGCAAUCAUAGAAAUACCUUCCUUCUCAAAAGAGAGAGUACCAGAGCAAAAUAGAAGCAUUAAAGGGACCCAAUGUUGUUGAUUGGAAAUUAAUAACAAUACAGUUAUCCAUUUAGUUACUAGAUCCAAGAAUUUUAAAGGGAACCAAUGUUGUUCAUCUCUAGAAAUACGCUCCUGCACAAGCCAGAAAAUAUAUAAACUGGAGAAAGUAGAAAGUGACACCAUGUCCCCCUAUGCUGUUAGUACAGAUUCAAUCCUAAUACAUACAACAAGAAGGAGGAGCAGCAAGGAACUAAAAACCCAAAAUUCACUUUUUCAUGAACCAACAACAAAUGUAUCUUUUAUGUGCUUCUUCUUCAUCAGAACUGUGGAAGUCAAAGAUUAGCUAUAUUCAUGAACUCCAUUAGCACAAAGGCCAUUCCAGCCCUUACGUCAAUUAUGGCGUAAGAAUUAGUGCCAUGCUAGGAGGUCAAGAAGUCUUUAAGCAUUUAGCAGUUGCUUCUUGUCUGUCCACAUGCAAUCUAGGAUUUUGUGGAAUUAUCAUCUUCCAAAUCUGAACAGUUCAGGAAUAGACAUCAAUAAAUAUUGCAUAAUUAUCAAGCUAUGAAUGUUGUUACCUGAAGCCUUGAUGAAAUAUGAACUUCAGGGGAACCCACAGAAGUACCAUGCCUCCUGAUCUCAAAAUCCUGAAUUGAACUAACGGAUGGUCGAAGAGAUGAAUCUACAGCUGAAAUAUGCGAAGCUGGAACUUUCUCAAGAAAUAAUGGCUGUCCAUCCAUUUGAUGACAAACCCACAAGAAAAAUUUGAAGAAGAAGCUAAAUGUUAAUGAUUUUCGAAAUUCAACCAUCCCACCAGGUGCAUCUUCUUUCAGCACAAUUUCCUUCUCCAGAAUUUUCAAAGAAUCCUGUAGCAGCUCUUUGUUCCAACUUUUCCCGAUUAAGAAGUCACUAGUUUUUGAUGCAGCAAAUGAAAGUGGAGCAACCCCACCAUAUACAAUCAAAGCAUCUGAAACUACCCAUUUCUUGUCCUUCUCUUCAAGGCAGACACGCAUUCCGGCAUUGACGAUGGCAAUAUCAUCAUCUCUCCUAUGAGAUUGUUUAAAUUCUUUCACAAACUCGAAUGGCUUAUUCCAAGGCAAUGAUACUGACAGUAAAAUUUCACUACUUGUCAGAUCCACUUUACGAUAGCCCCGGAAGAAAUUUUUAGCCAGACAUGUUCUGACAUUUCCUUUGCAGUCAAUUAUUCGAAACUUCGCUCCUGUUGCCAUCCAAAGAGGGUUCAAAUCUGAUAUUGGGCUCGCAGUGCAGAUAUUCCCACCAACUGAUGCAACAUUUCGUAUUUGUGUUCCAGCAAACCACUUUAUCUGUUCGAUGAGAGCUCGACAUGAUGAUGUUUCGUACUCGGGGCGGUUAUUUCUUACCUUCUUUAAUACAUCCACAAGCUGUGACAACUUAACUCCAGCACCUAUUUCUAAGCCAUCAUCCUCAACACUUAUAUGGUUAAGUUCCGGAACAUGUGCAACAGAUAUUAAUAUAGGAUAGUGAAUACCUUUAAGCCUGACUUCAAUUCCCACCUCUGUAUUUCCAACAACUAACCGGGCAUCUGGAAAUCUUGCUUUUAAAUCCAACAGAUGUUGAAAUUUUACGGGCCUAUACCACUUCCGUCCAUUUGAUCCACUUAAACUUAAAUAAGUCAAUUUCCUUAAUAAAAGUUCAGGAGGAAAAAUAAGUUCUUUGCUGGUGUAUGUGGUUCCAUCGGUUUCGUUGUAAGAAAACGGCUUCCAGCCACAAUCAUUGCUUAAAUUUUGUUUGAUGGUUUCUUCACUAUUUUCAGCCUUCGGCCCACAUGAACAAGGCUUACCCGUUGAAGGACAAAUAAAUUCACCAGUAUUAAUGUCUUGUAAAGAUGUGUUGGUGUAUAAAGCAUUAUUUGUUUUUGCAAAUACCCGAAAUGCGUCAACAAUUGGCCUAUAACCAGUACAUCGACAUAAAUUUCCGGCAAGGCUUUCUUCAAUUUGUUCUUCUGUAGGCUGUUCUUUAGAUGAUCGUAGUAAUGCAUACAUGGACAUGACGAAACCAGGAGUACAGAAUCCACAUUGUGAACCAUGCGAGCGAGCCAACGAUUCCUUUAGAAUGUCGUUGAAAAGCAGAGGAGUUACAAGAAUGUUGCAUACAUCAUGAUCCAUAAAAGGUACUAUUUGAAUUAACAAAUGACGUUGAAAAAACAUGCGAAAAUCAUGGGACAUGUGAAACCAACUAAUGUACCUGAAUUGGGUGCAAUCCAGCUUUGCGGUUCCCAAUUCCCUCCACUGUGAUGACAUGCAUCCCUUCCACAGAAUAUAGAGGAGCCAAGCAUGCAUUUACUGCAUGGUGCCUAUAGAGAAAAUACAACUUUAUAAACUGAAUAUGAUUUAUGGAAAUUUUUAAUAGUCAUAUACUAACUGAAUGGGAGGGAUGCACUGGGGGCCAAUCAAAUCAAGCAGACUUCAAGUUUACCAAUUUAUUGCUUGCUAAUAAAUUAUUAUGAUUAUAUUCUUUUAUCUCUUAACUAGGGAUGGAAAAAUGGGUAAUUUAUAUGGGCACCUAUUCAAAUUACCCAUCUUAAAUGAGUUGGGUGCCCAUACAAAUUACCCAUCUUAAAUGAGUUGGAUACCCAACUCAUUUAAAAUGAGUAAAAAACGAGUCAAACUCAUUUUACCCAUUUAAAAGUGGGUAGUUAAAUGGGUAAAGGAGACUCAUUUAUAAAAGAAAGAAAAGUGACAUUAAUAUUUUUUUAAGGUGUAGGUGGUCGGGGUAGGGAUGGGUGGGAUAAGGAAAAAAAUCGUUUUUUUUUAAAACAAAUUUUUUUUUUGGAAGGGGCUGGGGAAGAGGGGUCGGAGUAGUAACAAAAAAUUCAUUUUUGAGGCGUUGGAGUUGGGGGUGGGGAUGGGCAGGUUAAAUUUAAAAAGUUUUGAGUAUUUUUGUUUGGGGGGGGGGGGCGGGCAGUGGGGGUGAGGUAAGAGAUUUUGCUUUUAAAGCUUUUAACAUGAUCCCUAUAUGGAUACCCAUAUUAUCCAUUGGGUAACUCAUUUUUACCCAUUUCAAAUAUGAGUCCAGUUGAGUAUUUUACCCAUUUUUAUACUUAUUUUCGAUCGACUCAUAUUCGACUCGACCAGCUCGUUUGCCAGUCCUACUCUUAACUAACCAUAUUUUUUGUUGAAGUGUGUGACCAUCUCAUCUAAAAGCUUUUGUCUGCUCUAAUACCAUGUUGAAGUGUGUUUCGAUCUCAUCUAAUAGCUUAAGCUGUUAGAGAGAACACACUUUAUAUUAGUUAAUUAUAUUCUCAACAUUUUUCAACUAGUUUCUCUGUACUCUCUUAGUCAAAUACAUUUGCCAAAGACUCGCAUCACCACCACUCCAACCAUCCCAACCAGAGAACUUAUAGCAGAAUAAGAUAUCAUCUCAAAGCCAGGAUAAGCAGUGUUACAGAAAGCUCAUGCUCAAUGGAUACUAGAAUGAAGACUAUAUAUCUAGCAUGAUAAUUGUUCAUUUCAGGUUUCAGUAGUAGCGGUCUCAUAUUUUUUCUCGUGGUGGUGCUUUCUUUUGGGCAUGGGGCUUACGUACUUGUCAAGGAUUCACAUAGUAAUCAUAAGAAAUAUGGAUGCUUUAUUCAUUUUUUAAGUAACCUUCCCAACUGACUUCUAGGUUAAACUAGUAUUAGGUCAGGCCAACGCCAAAGGGUUCACAACCUGUAACUAGUCUGCUAGAACAGAUACAGAGUGAUAAGGUCUCUGAACUUUCCACCUCCCCGAUUCUAAAGAAAGCUUGUUUCGUUCGUUGAAGGAUACAAAAUCAAUUGAGGAUAAAGAACAUUUAUUCAAUCAGCAGCCAUCUUCUAGAACUAUGCGGAGAGCUAUCUGCUAUCCAUCUUGACAGCUAUCAUACUUCUUUAGAUGUUAAACAGACAUCAGUUUACAGGAAUGAAAACGUAUCUCCUACAAUUACCGAAGACCCACCUAACUGACUUCCUCCGCUCAUGCAUGGCUGAGUAACAGACAAACAAAUAGUACUAAGAGCGACAGAAGUAAAAGGAUGACAAAGGCGAAAGCUUUACUGCCUGAUACAAUCAAUAACUUCAUUCCCUACCACCCAAAAUGAAAGUGAGUAACAAUUUGGGGAUUCAAAAACUAACGAGAAAGAUCUCAGCUCUCAGAGUAAUCACACAACUGAUCAGAAGAAAAACAUCCCACAGAUCAAGACAUGGAUCACACCUAUCCAGCACAAAUUAUAACCCAUGCAAAUGCAAACAAGUGCAGAACUCAUUGCUAUCCACUAAAUCAUGCAUAAACCUGCACACCCCAAAAGAAGAUAUAAGAGAGACUUGGAGACGUAGGUGGAUAGAGAUGGAAAGAGACUCACACACAUUUCUUCAAAUUCUGAUCAAAAAAAGAAACCAUUACAGUGCAUGCCCCACACCCACCUUCACCACAGCCUAGCUUGGUGCCUGUCAGGCCUAUUUCUGCAUAGCCACAGAGAAAGAGCAACUUCAGAUAAACCACCAAAACACAAUCAGAGAGAGACUGAGAGGAUAAAAUCCAGAUCAAUCAUCUGAACAGAAAUAAAAACUACAACUUCCUGAAGUAUUGGGCAACAUAGACUCGUAAGAGGUGUAGUGAGUUCUCAAGACAAUGUAUAAAACAUAUUCAUUAAAAAGUACCAACAACUGCAUAAAAGCUACAGAUUGGCAGCAACUCGAAAAUGGACUCAACAAAUUUUUAUCACUAUAUGUAUACAACUGCAUAACUAAAGGGUAAGUACAAACACAUCAAUUGCUCAGCCAGCAAGCCACAAACUGUAUGAAAAUGGAGAUUGAAUUGAUCAGAUGAUGCCCAAGUCUAACGAAUAGAAAAGUGAGAGAAGGAAGUAAUUGGUUGUUAAUGUUGAAAUAUACAAAAUAUAUGUACUGAACAAUAAAGGUCUUAAGAUCCAACCUGCACCAAUUUACAAGAUCAAACACCAGCAGAAGUUAAGACUACAGAAAAUAUAAUUAACUGUAUGUCACUGAACAGUUGGAAGUCAUCCCGGUACGUCAACAUUAGCUAACCCACUAAUAUUACUAUUUAAUAUAAGGGACUAUCACAAACUUCUGUCAUACUCUCAAUAACACAUAUCUACUAUCUACAUCUUUUUUUAUAAAUAUAAUUUUCGAAUAAUUCUUCCUCCUCUUGAUCCAAUCUUUUAAAGUUACUUCACCUAUCAUCCUUGGUAAUGGUCAACUUUUUCAAAAGCACGCGAACUCCUCAAUCUCCUGCUUACAGCAUGUUUGAUCAAUUUUGUAAAAAUCUGUUAACUUUGAAAAAUAUUUUCUAUUUUUUUAUAGUAAUAAUUUGUAUUCGGCUAAUCAAAUUUACUUUUACCAAUAUUAAAACAGUAAUUUAUGCUUGAUAAAGUUUCCGAAAAUGCUUCUGGGAAUUUUUAAACUUUUGGAAAAUAUCUUCUGUUACUAUUCAAAAACGCUUAUUUUGCUCCUAUAAGCUAUAUAAAUCACCUAAACUCUCUACAAUAAGCACUUUUAAUUCUUGGAACUUAGCCAAACACGUUUUCAAUCUUCCUUGUCAUUUUCUACUUAAGACAUAUCAAGUUGUCUUUAGUAGUGUACAACUACUAUCACUCAAUCAAAAGUCAGUGCUCUACUUUUUUUAAAAGCUACUAUUCCUUCAACUUAUCUCUACAUACUACCUCCAUUUUGAUUUGUUUGUCAGAUAUUAACUUGGAAAUUCUUCCGGGCCACGUAAGUGGAUAAAGCACAGAGUACCAGAGAGAACGUUAAGAAACCCGAAAAUAUACUAAACAUAUGAAAUCCACAGAUUAAACCUAGCUGGAGAAAGCAUAGUCCUUUCAGUAUUUAGAUUUACACUAAUAAAAAUUACCCAAAUUGAACAUUUACCAUAGAAACAAAACAGGAAUACAGCUCAGCACAAGUACGUCCAAGCUUAAUCAAAUCCCAAACUUGAAAAUUUGAGUUUUUAAAGUUAUGAUUUUCAAAAACCUGAUGUUGUCUGGACAUGCAUAUUAAAGUUUUAUGGACAAAAGUGAAAUUUCUCCCCAAAAACUGGCUUAAAGAUCAAAUUUUUAAUAUCUAAUCAAAUUUCAUGGUCAAUAUCUUGAUCCAAAAUCAAUAGUCAAAUGCCAACUUAGUUCAUUGUUCAUCUAAAACUGUUUCUGACAAGAAAAAAAGAGAAAAAACCCACAAAACUAAACUUAAAAACUAACCUCUAAGAUAUUCAAGAAGAGUCAAAUGGGCUAAUCCAUCAGGUAACACUCGACGAACUCCAUUAACAUACAAAAUUGCUUCCUUUGAUUCCUCUUCUAUCCUUUCCUCCUUCAUCAUAGAACCCAUUUUUUCCAGAAAAGGAAAAAAAAUCAGCGAUGAAAAAGUGUUGGGGUUUGAUUCGGCUAAAAAAAGAUCCAAUAAGUAUUAAGUAGUAGUAAGAGAUUUUGUUGUAGAAAUCAGAGUCGGUAUGACUACAAUUUUGUGGUUACCUAUUGUUUCAUAACUAUCAAGAUUUGUUGUGGAAAUUAGAGUCAACUUUCACUAAAUUUUUGUGUUAACGCUGUUAAGUAUUGUUUUAUAAUAUAUCUAAAUUUUGUUGUGGGAAUCAGAGUCAGCUUUCACUAGAACUUUGUUUGGAUGGCGGUUACAUAUUGUUUCAUAAUGUAUCUAGUAAGAUUUUUGUUGUAAAAAUCAGAAUCGGUUUCUACUAAAACUUUGUUUGUUUGGAUGGCGGUUACGUAUUGUCACAUAAUAUUACACAUUUAUAAUAUGAAUGGUAAAUCUGCCAAAAAAAGAAGGAUAUAGAGUAGAGCUACUAUGAAAACGUAAGAUAAAAUGAAAUAUGAUUAUUAAAUAUAAUAAAUAAAAGAAAAAAUGAGAAAAAAUAUAUUAAGAUAACGACAUAAUCAUUGUUACAUAAAUUGGAUUUUUUCAUCAUUACCUGGUUGAAUUUAAACGAUGCGAUACAAUAAAAUUUAAAUAACAAUUAAAAUAAAUAUUAUAUUUAAAUUAACAAUACAAUAUAAUACGUCUUAUAACAAUCAUCCAAAACAAGGGGUAAGAUGAUAGACACAAGCUACGUACUAUAUAUAGGGUUGGAUCAAUGAUUCCGAUAAGUAUUAUUAUUUAAUAUUAAGAGAUAAAAUACAAGGAAAAGGUUCUCUUCUUCUAAAAAUAACAGAUAAAAAUAAUAUAGGUUAAUUUCCUCCUUGAUUGAUAGUAAUGUUGUUAAAAAUAUGGUCAAAUGGAUGACCAUAACUCCUAGGUUUAUUUCUUUUGUUAUAGGUAGUAAUUCUCAAGGUUUAAUGUAAUAUUUAUGACACCCUUUGAUAUUCCUCAACAUAAUCCUAUAAAUAGUGGUGUUAAGAAUAAUGUUGAAUACACUCCAAGAAAGAAAGUUAUCUUAUAUUGUUCCUCUUGUCUUUUAUUUUUUUGUCUAAUCUUUAUAUUGUUCUUUUGUUCUUAAAUUUUACAACAUAUUAUUUAAUAUAGUUGACAAAUAAAAAUAAGGGAGAAAAGUAUGGUAUUUUAUUUUUUAAUCUUGUGAGAACAUGUUAGGUGAGAUUAUCUGAAUUAAAAAGUAAUUUGAUUGGAUCUUAUUAUUAAAAAAAAAUAGGAUAACUCUUUACCUCGUGAUGUUAAGCGUAUUAUUUUAAAUGUUAAAUUUCAGAAUUAUAAAUAAGUAUAUAAAUAAGUAUUAAUUUAAACAAAUUAAAAAAGGUAAGACACAUAAAGUUAUAAGAAAGUAUAUAAAAAAUAAAAACACUUCAACUAAAAUAACAGUCAAUUUUUAAAAUACUAUCUUCAAAUUUGAAAACUCAGCCAAAAUCAACUAGAAAUUCAUAUGAAAAGUAUAUGAAAAGUGGAAAGCUUUCGAAUCAAAAGUUGAAUUACGAUUUUAUCCAUACUAUAAAUUAAAAUAUUAUAAAAUAUCUAAGAAAUGAAAUAUUAAAUAGUACUUAUAUCAUAUUUAGAUAAUUCAUUUGUCAAUCAAAAUAGAAGACAAAAAAUGGUUCUUUCAAUUCUAACAAAAAUAAAAAAAAGGUCCAUAGAAUGUUUUUGAUUGUUUUGGAAACAUUUAUUUAUUAUUGAAAUUUAAUACAUUAGAUGUAUGGGUUACUAAUAGGGAUUUUAAAACGUCAUAAUUUCUUGUGUUGACCGUAAGUUUAUCUCUUUAAAUUUUUUUUCCUUAAUAUACUUUGUAUAAGCAUUUAGUAUAUGAAACUAAUUAAAAUAUAUUUUCCAUGUUAAUUUCUUUUGUUUUUUUUAAAAUAUAUUUUUAGACAGAUAGUUAUGGGAUGGGAGCCAUAAUUAAUUUAUAAUUUCAAAAUAUAGGUAUGAAUCAUACACAUAUAAUUUUGUAUAUGAAGAUUCUGCUGAAAAUUGUGUAAAGGUAAAAUUUUGAAUUAAUGAAAUCAAUAUUUGAUUUUGUGAUGUAUAUUUACGAUAACGAAAUUACUUAACAUAGCCCGUCUCCAAUUACAAUAAAGGAAUUACUCAAUCUAGCAAUCGAAAUGACUUAAGAACAUGUACCAAUGAUAUCAUCUCUAUAAUAUAUUAGGUGAGAUAUAUUUAAUUACAUGUUCUUACCUUAUUUAAAAAAAAAUCCGCAUGUUCCUAGUAAAAAAAUACUAUUUUUUUAUCUUAAUAAUAAAUACGAUAUUCAUGCAUUUUUACUGCAAAAACAACUCAUUCUAUAGUAAUUCAUAUCCAUUUUGCAUAUUAUUCUUUCAUGAUUAUUAUUUAAUGCAUACUAUAUUAUACAAGUCGAUAUAUAUGUUGCGUCGCGUGUUUUUCCAACUCAACAUUAUCAAAUGUCACAUAAGUUCGGUCAAUGGUCAUAGAGAUUUAAAACAUUGUGUUCUAAUGAGUUUAGGGAUUUAGUUGACAAAUUGAUAAGUAGGAAGGUCCAACUUACAAAUGUAGCCAAGUACAGAGCUCUCCCAGGUCAUUUUCAUAUAUAAAAACACACUACCCAAGAUAAUGAUAAUUAACUCUUCGAAAGUAAGUUUUUCACGUAAAAAUUUUUGAAAUGUUGUAGGGUCAUUUCUUCCAUUCAUAUAUUACAAGUGUUCGAAACAAUAAUGAAGCAUCUUUAUUACACGUUAUUAUAAAGUGUUGCAUAAUGUCACGGGAAAAUGUAAAGAAGACAUCAUAUGAAGCUCUAAGAACUUCACUUAUUCAGUACAGUUCAACCAUCAAACACUUAGCUUUGGGCGAAAAUCAGAAUCCACAACUAGUCUUGUAAAUUCAUCGGUACAAGCCAUUCGAAUACGCUCUGGAGUAGCUGGAUUAUCAAGAGGGAACCAGUCGUUGUAACCAGAUUCCAUCCUUGCAGAUUUUAUGGCAUUCGUGAUGGCGAAAAGGACAGAUGAUGCAAGAAAGAAGGGUGGUUCCCCUACUGCUUUAGAAAAAUGGAUAGCCUUGGCGUUUGGGGCAUUCUGUUGGCAAAUGUCAAGCAGAUUGUUAAAGGCAAAGUCAAGAUAUGGUGUGCAGAUGCAUAUGUACUUCCAAAUAGAAAUAGGGAUAUUAUUAUUGAUAAGCCGAAAAAUUAUUCAAGAAUAAAGGAACAACAAUAUAGUAGUUCAAGUACAAUUGUACUAGGAUUAUAAGCAGUUAAAGAAAUGGUGCAUAGCAGCUCAUUGAUGGAGAUAGCAGUGAAACUUACUUUCAAAAGAGAGACAUUAAAUUUGGAAGGUACAUCAUUCAAAUUGGAAUCUUGUAACUUCCAGGUCCAGAUGUGAAUAAGUAUCCAGGUGAAAUCCACUUGUGUGCUUUAUCGCCCCAUUUCAGCUCUUCUAAUGCAAACCAUCCCAGACCCUGUAGAAAACCUCCUUCUACCUGCAUCAAGUUUAUAAGGAGUAUGCACGAAUGUUAGCAAAACUCCAUUUCAGAUUGAAAGAUGCAAAGAUCCUGUGAGAUAGUGGUUCUAGUUCUAUCUAAAUAUAGACAAAACUGCAAGUCCGCAAAAGAGGGAGGUAAUGGUGUUCUACAAAAUGUAUCCAAGUCAUCUUUGUAGAUAUCAUACAUUAGGAGAAAAGAAGAAUAAAAUGCAGAUCUGAUAAUCCCUGUCAAGCUCAGUACAAACAAAUCGAGACCUUCUCUAAUUCCAGGAAAGGUAGGUAGGCAUUAGAAAUCGGAUCUCUGUUCUUUUUUCUUGUUUACCAUUCAAAAUGAAGAUUACUCAUACAUUACCUACACGUUGAUAGAUCUGAAAAAAGCCACAACUUGCAGCUUCAAUCAUCAAUCACUUCAGCAUUUACUACUCGAUAGUAUAGUUUUAAAUUCAUAUAGUUAAAUUAUUUCAUCAAGCAUACCAGUUAAACAAAUGACAAAAAUCAAAAUGUAUACAUAAACUGUACAGAGAGAACAACAAUGACCUGUCCAACAUCAAUCGCUGGAUUGAGGGAGAACCCAACAUCUACGAGAAGAUCUGCUCGCCUAGUAUGGAAAUCGCCUGUCAAUGUGUCGAUUUCAACUUCGGAAAAUGAAGCACCACUGGUGUAGUACCUAAAUACAUUGCCUUUUCCAGAUUUCCAAUCAAAGCCAAUAUCAGGUGUAACGAAGAACCCAUGAGCAGAAAGGUCUAUUCUCUC
This 18438-nucleotide long non-coding RNA is filed under the name Solanum tuberosum (potato). RNAcentral's name for it is "long non-coding RNA (STUB_LNC010929)". The record is from RNAcentral. Lineage: Eukaryota; Viridiplantae; Streptophyta; Magnoliopsida; Solanales; Solanaceae.